Molecule: ribosomal RNA, 227 nt
Filed under: uncultured bacterium
Lineage: Bacteria
Description: partial 16S ribosomal RNA
Rfam family: Bacterial small subunit ribosomal RNA
Source: RNAcentral
UGAGUAACACGUAUCCAACCUGCCGACUACUCUUGGACAGCCUUCUGAAAGGAAGAUUAAUACAAGAUGGCAUCAUGAGUCCGCAUGUUCACAUGAUUAAAGGUAUUCCGGUAGACGAUGGGGAUGCGUUCCAUUAGAUAGUAGGCGGGGUAACGGCCCACCUAGUCUUCGAUGGAUAGGGGUUCUGAGAGGAAGGUCCCCCACAUUGGAACUGAGACACGGUCCAA